AGGCGUCCCUCAGCCGGAAACAGAAGCGGACCUCCCGCCGAAACAGAGGAAGAGCUCUGAAGAAGCAGGUGUUUUCCUAAGUUUGCAGAACUCUCCCUUUGCUUUAUGUAGCAUUGCUCAGAGACGAUGCUUUCAGAGGCUUCCACCAGAAUGAGGAGAAACAUCUGAGGAGCAGGUGGUCCUCAAACAGAAACAACUGAUUUGGGAUUUUACUGUCAGGAUGCUCUUGGCCUUCUCCCGGAGGAUUGUGGGUAGAUAGCCGACGAUCCCGAGAAGAACCAGCGACGUGAGACCCUUCAAACUUUCUGUGCCACUCCCGAAUUCUGUUUUCCCCCCAAAACAAAGAUUUAUACAUAUUUAUACGAGCCAAUCGACGGGAAGGUGGUCCGGAGGAGGGGAGGAGAAGCGGCGGAACUGCAGAGAAUGGUCCUUCAGCGACUGUCCCGCUCGGGUUGUUUGGAGUCGAACUGUCACCCAUCUCACGCUGCGAUGACCUUGGGCACAGCGACACGGGCGAGUUCUGAAGCUUCGAUUUGACACGUCAAGAUGUUGCGGUAAUGCGAGAUAAUUUUGGGGUUUUUGCCCUCCUCGGAGCAAACUGAAGUAAGGAAAUGUGGCAGAGUCCUUCUCCAGAGAUUACAGGUAAUACAGUCCAUUGCCCCCAUAAACAUGCUUGACACAAGGCCCUCAUGAUGGAGCGAUUGCUCCAGGAGAGACUUUUUCACACUUUAAUUUGCCUUAAAUGAACUGGAGAAGUCAGCGAGGGCUUUGAGAUGCUGUGCCGAGAGAGAGGCCAUGGUAAACUACCUCUGCGCUCGCCUCUCUCCCCAAAAAUGACAUGGAGUUACAUCACGAGUUCGGUGCGAAUCUGCAUGUGACUUGUGCAACCUCGUUUAGAGCCAAAAUACUCAUCUGCAUCUUGGAUUGGUUGAGAGUGGAUCUAAAUUAU
Long non-coding RNA from Carassius auratus (goldfish), 949 nucleotides. RefSeq lists it as uncharacterized. The transcript has 4 exons. The record is from RefSeq and is a predicted model, not a curated record. Lineage: Eukaryota; Metazoa; Chordata; Actinopteri; Cypriniformes; Cyprinidae.